AGCUUGCUCCCUGAUGUUAGCGGCGGACGGGUGAGUAACACGUGGGUAACCUGCCUGUAAGACUGGGAUAACUCCGGGAAACCGGGGCUAAUACCGGAUGGUUGUUUGAACCGCAUGGUUCAGACAUAAAAGGUGGCUUCGGCUACCACUUACAGAUGGACCCGCGGCGCAUUAGCUAGUUGGUGAGGUAACGGCUCACCAAGGCAACGAUGCGUAGCCGACCUGAGAGGGUGAUCGGCCACACUGGGACUGAGACACGGCCCAGACUCCUACGGGAGGCAGCAGUAGGGAAUCUUCCGCAAUGGACGAAAGUCUGACGGAGCAACGCCGCGUGAGUGAUGAAGGUUUUCGGAUCGUAAAGCUCUGUUGUUAGGGAAGAACAAGUGCCGUUCAAAUAGGACGGCACCUUGACGGUACCUAACCAGAAAGCCACGGCUAACUACGUGCCAGCAGCCGCGGUAAUACGUAGGUGGCAAGCGUUGUCCGGAAUUAUUGGGCGUAAAGGGCUCGCAGGCGGUUUCUUAAGUCUGAUGUGAAAGCCCCCGGCUCAACCGGGGAGGGUCAUUGGAAACUGGGGAACUUGAGUGCAGAAGAGGAGAGUGGAAUUCCACGUGUAGCGGUGAAAUGCGUAGAGAUGUGGAGGAACACCAGUGGCGAAGGCGACUCUCUGGUCUGUAACUGACGCUGAGGAGCGAAAGCGUGGGGAGCGAACAGGAUUAGAUACCCUGGUAGUCCACGCCGUAAACGAUGAGUGCUAAGUGUUAGGGGGUUUCCGCCCCUUAGUGCUGCAGCUAACGCAUUAAGCACUCCGCCUGGGGAGUACGGUCGCAAGACUGAAACUCAAAGGAAUUGACGGGGGCCCGCACAAGCGGUGGAGCAUGUGGUUUAAUUCGAAGCAACGCGAAGAACCUUACCAGGUCUUGACAUCCUCUGACAAUCCUAGAGAUAGGACGUCCCCUUCGGGGGCAGAGUGACAGGUGGUGCAUGGUUGUCGUCAGCUCGUGUCGUGAGAUGUUGGGUUAAGUCCCGCAACGAGCGCAACCCUUGAUCUUAGUUGCCAGCAUUCAGUUGGGCACUCUAAGGUGACUGCCGGUGACAAACCGGAGGAAGGUGGGGAUGACGUCAAAUCAUCAUGCCCCUUAUGACCUGGGCUACACACGUGCUACAAUGGACAGAACAAAGGGCAGCGA
Molecule: ribosomal RNA, 1190 nt
Filed under: Bacillus amyloliquefaciens
Lineage: Bacteria; Bacillati; Bacillota; Bacilli; Caryophanales; Bacillaceae
Description: bacterial SSU rRNA
Rfam family: Bacterial small subunit ribosomal RNA
Source: RNAcentral